GGAAGGAUCAUUAUCGUAAAACUGAGGUGCGAGGGCUGUCGCUGGCCUUUCAAAAAGGUCGUGCACGCCCGAGUGCUUUCACAUCCAUCUCACCCCUUUGUGCACCAUCGCGUGGGCCCUCCUUUUGGCUUGUUUCAAGGGGAGUGGCUUGCGUUUUCACACAAACAUCCCUUUAAUGCAGUGUAGUAGAAUGUAUGCGUUGACUCGCAAUCAAUACAACUUUCAACAACGGAUCUCUUGGCUCUCGCAUCGAUGAAGAACGCAGCGAAAUGCGAUACGUAAUGUGAAUUGCAGAAUUCAGUGAAUCAUCGAAUCUUUGAACGCACCUUGCGCCCCUUGGCAUUCCGAGGGGCACACCCGUUUGAGUGUCGUGAUGUCCUCAAGAGCCUUUCUUUGAUCUCUCGAUCGGGGAGAGUCUUUUGGAUUUUGGAGGUCUUUGCUGGCUUCACUUGAAUGUCAGCUCCUCCUAAAUGGAUUAGUGGGGUCCGCUUUGCAGGUCCUUGACGCGAUAAGAUGUUUCUGUGUCUUGGGCAUUGCUUUGCUUUUUAAGAUCCUGCUUCUAAAACAUGUUCGAAUUCUCUCCCUUCACGGGGAAGGAACUACGACCCACGAAUGAACCCUUGACCUCAAAUCGGGUGAGACUACCCGCUGAACUUAAGCAUAUCAAUAAGCGGAGGAAAAGAAACUAACAAGGAUUCCCCUAGUAACUGCGAGUGAAGCGGGAAAAGCUCAAAUUUAAAAUCUGGUGGCCUUUGGCCAUCCGAGUUGUAAUCUAGAGAAGCGUCUUCCGCGCUGAACCGUGCACAAGUCUCCUGGAAUGGAGCCUCAUAGAGGGUGAGAAUCCCGUCUUUGGCACGGAUGCAUCAGGGCUUUGUGAUGCGCUCUCGAAGAGUCGAGUUGUUUGGGAAUGCAGCUCAAAAUGGGUGGUGAACUCCAUCUAAAGCUAAAUAUUGGCGAGAGACCGAUAGCGAACAAGUACCGUGAGGGAAAGAUGAAAAGCACUUUGGAAAGAGAGUGAAACAGUACGUGAAAUUGUUGAAAGGGAAACGCUUGAAGUCAGUCGCGUCGACCGAGACUCAGCCUUGCCUUGGCUUGGUGUACUUCUCGGCUGACGGGUCAGCAUCAAUUUUGUCCCUCGGAUAAUGAUAGGGGAAAGGUGGCACCCUUACAGGUGUGUUAUAGUCUUCUGUCGCAUGCGAGGGUCGGGAUUGAGGAACUCAGCACGCGCCUCUUGGUGUCGGGGCCUUUGGCUCACGUUACGUGCUUAGGAUGCUGGCGUAAUGGCUUUAAACGACCCGUCUUGAAACACGGACCAAGGAGUCUAACAUGCCCGCGAGUGUUCGGGUGGAAAACCCGUGCGCGUAAUGAAAGUGAAAGUUGGGACCUCUGUCGUGGAGGGCACCGACGCCCGGACCAGACCUUCUGUGACGGAUCUGCGGUAGAGCGUGCAUGUUGGGACCCGAAAGAUGGUGAACUAUGCCUGAAUAGGGUGAAGCCAGAGGAAACUCUGGUGGAGGCUCGUAGCGAUUCUGACGUGCAAAUCGAUCGUCAAAUUUGGGUAUAGGGGCGAAAGACUAAUCGAACCAUCUAGUAGCUGGUUCCUGC
RNAcentral lists this unclassified non-coding RNA (1605 nucleotides) under uncultured fungus. RNAcentral's name for it is "sequence contains 18S rRNA gene, ITS1, 5.8S rRNA gene, ITS2, 28S rRNA gene". The stretch from base 622 to 1605 matches the Rfam family "Eukaryotic large subunit ribosomal RNA", at positions 1 to 961 of the family's 3401-position model. Lineage: Eukaryota; Fungi. The record is from RNAcentral.